This 495-nucleotide ribosomal RNA is filed under the name uncultured bacterium. Its description in RNAcentral is "partial 16S ribosomal RNA". It matches the Rfam family "Bacterial small subunit ribosomal RNA", at positions 28 to 507 of the family's 1533-position model. The record is from RNAcentral.
GACGAACGCUGGCGGCGUGCCUAAUACAUGCAAGUAGAACGCUGAAGGAGGAGCUUGCUUCUCUGGAUGAGUUGCGAACGGGUGAGUAACGCGUAGGUAACCUGCCUGGUAGCGGGGGAUAACUAUUGGAAACGAUAGCUAAUACCGCAUAAGAGUAGAUGUUGCAUGACAUUUGCUUAAAAGGUGCAAUUGCAUCACUACCAGAUGGACCUGCGUUGUAUUAGCUAGUUGGUGGGGUAACGGCUCACCAAGGCGACGAUACAUAGCCGACCUGAGAGGGGGGUCGGCCACACUGGGACUGAGACACGGCCCAGACUCCUACGGGAGGGAGCAGUAGGGAAUCUUCGGCAAUGGACGGAAGUCUGACCGAGCAACGCCGGGUGAGUGAAGAAGGGUUUCGGGUCGUAAAGCUCUGUUGUAAGAGAAGAACGAGUGUGAGAGUGGAAAGUUCACACUGUGACGGUAUCUUAACAGAAAGGGACGGCUAACUACGUG